GUCCAACUGAUGAGUCUCAAGUAGGACUAAACACAUGUCCUAGAU
RNAcentral lists this non-coding RNA (45 nucleotides) under Schistosoma curassoni. Lineage: Eukaryota; Metazoa; Platyhelminthes; Trematoda; Strigeidida; Schistosomatidae. The record is from RNAcentral.